GAAGUAAGGAAAAAAGAAGAACGAAGAAAUUCAUAAUUUCAAAAAACAAUCAACAGGCAGAAAAAAAUGGGAUCUGUUUCUUAUUUAUACUCAUACAUUGGUUGUAAUUUUAACCACUUUGGGUCAAAUAUAAGUUUUACUCUGAUUGUUACGUGUGAACAAGCUUAUGAAGUUCCUCUUCUCAUGGUAUAUCCAUGCAAAUGGAAUAUAUUAAAAGGAAGUUUUUUCAAUUGAAUUUCUUCAUUGUUAUCGCAAAUAUUAUCGAUUAAUUUUGUCUUCAAAAAACUUGAAAAAUUCCUGAUUUGGUUUUUAGCAACAGGAUAUGGAAACGUAACACUGAAUGUGCUUAAAUAAUAAUAAAUAUUUAAAAUCUUCAACUAAAUAAUUUUUCAACUAAUUAAUUCAGGUUUUAUUAAAAGGAAUGGUUUACAAGAGAGUAUUUAAUUACACUGGAAAGACCAUUGCAAUUUCGAGAUGAAACAUCAUGAUUUUCUGAAAAUACAUAUAAACUUUAAAAGUUUCUUUUAAGACCUGCAUCAAUUUUUGGAAUCAAUGUUGACUAAUUUACGUAUUACAGUCAAGGAAUAUUUUUUCAAAACACAAUUAAACAAAGAUGAAUUUUUCUCAUGCUGCCUGCUCUCAACUUUCUUAUAAUGAAAGAAAAAGAUAUUUUGUAAUUAUACAUUCCGUCUUUGUUAACAGAUGUGAGAUGCCAGAGUAGGCAUACUCACCACGGAAUCUCAAAUUGAUUCGAUCAAAUGUAAUCAACUGUUUUUGAUGGACACUAUGCAGUAUUUCAUGAAAAAUUUUGAAUUUACGAAAGAUAUUCUGUAGAAAAGGUAUUAAAUAGGAAAUUACAUUGAAAUGGAAUUUUUAAAGAAAUUAUUAAUGGACUAUGGAACACGCAAUGAAAUUGAACUGUUCUGCUAGAAGAAACAAUUACAAAUGCGAAAACCUUACAAAUCAAGAAAAGAGCACAAUCUUUGAUAUAUUUUGAAUGUUUGCCAAUGAUACUAAUUUGGAUUGCAGUUUCACCAUUUGAAUUUCGAGAUAGAUGGUAUUCAAAAAUGGAAAAUUUAACUACAAUAUUUACUAUAAUAGUAUUUCAUUAAUUUUAUAUUGCUUAUGCCACAUUUGUUAUCGAAUACGGAAGAAGUA
Condylostylus longicornis is the source of this 1158-nucleotide long non-coding RNA. RefSeq lists it as uncharacterized. The record is from RefSeq and is a predicted model, not a curated record. The transcript has 3 exons. NCBI's taxonomy places the organism in Eukaryota, Metazoa, Arthropoda, Insecta, Diptera, Dolichopodidae.